CAGUAGCCGCGGUAAAACGUAGGUCCCGAGCGUUGUCCGGAUUUAUUGGGCGUAAAGCGAGCGCAGGCGGUUAGAUAAGUCUGAAGUUAAAGGCUGUGGCUUAACCAUAGUACGCUUUGGAAACUGUUUAACUUGAGUGCAAGAGGGGAGAGUGGAAUUCCAUGUGUAGCGGUGAAAUGCGUAGAUAUAUGGAGGAACACCGGUGGCGAAAGCGGCUCCCUGGCUCGUAACUGACGCUGAGGCUCGAAAGCGUGGGGAGCAAACAGGAUUAGAUACCCGUGUAGUCCCUGUCUCUUAUACA
This 301-nucleotide ribosomal RNA is filed under the name uncultured bacterium. RNAcentral's name for it is "partial 16S ribosomal RNA". It matches the Rfam family "Bacterial small subunit ribosomal RNA", at positions 509 to 808 of the family's 1533-position model. The record is from RNAcentral.